This 24-nucleotide non-coding RNA is filed under the name Arabidopsis thaliana (thale cress). Lineage: Eukaryota; Viridiplantae; Streptophyta; Magnoliopsida; Brassicales; Brassicaceae. The record is from RNAcentral.
AUAGAUGCUUGGAAACUUACUUGC